This 542-nucleotide ribosomal RNA is filed under the name uncultured bacterium. RNAcentral's name for it is "bacterial SSU rRNA". It matches the Rfam family "Bacterial small subunit ribosomal RNA", at positions 777 to 1318 of the family's 1533-position model. The record is from RNAcentral.
AAUAGAUACCCUGGUAGUCCACGCCGUAAACGAUGAGUGCUAAGUGUUAGGGGGUUUCCGCCCCUUAGUGCUGCAGCUAACGCAUUAAGCACUCCGCCUGGGGAGUACGGUCGCAAGACUGAAACUCAAAGGAAUUGACGGGGGCCCGCACAAGCGGUGGAGCAUGUGGUUUAAUUCGAAGCAACGCGAAGAACCUUACCAGGUCUUGACAUCCCAUUGACCGCUAUGGAGACAUAGCUUUCCCUUCGGGGACAGUGGUGACAGGUGGUGCAUGGUUGUCGUCAGCUCGUGUCGUGAGAUGUUGGGUUAAGUCCCGCAACGAGCGCAACCCUUGUCUUAGUUGCCAUCAUUUAGUUGGGCACUCUAAGGAGACUGCCGGUGACAAACCGGAGGAAGUGGGGAUGACGUCAAAUCAUCAUGCCCCUUAUGACCUGGGCUACACACGUGCUACAAUGGACGGUACAAACGGUUGCCAACCCGGCAGGGGGGAGCUAAUCCGAUAAAACCGUUCUCAGUUCGGAUUGUAGGCUGCAACUCGCUAA